This 1415-nucleotide ribosomal RNA is filed under the name Rothia mucilaginosa. Its description in RNAcentral is "bacterial SSU rRNA". It matches the Rfam family "Bacterial small subunit ribosomal RNA". Lineage: Bacteria; Bacillati; Actinomycetota; Actinomycetes; Micrococcales; Micrococcaceae. The record is from RNAcentral.
GUGCUUUAACAUGCAAGUCGAACGAUGAAGCCUAGCUUGCUAGGUGGAUUAGUGGCGAACGGGUGAGUAAUACGUGAGUAACCUACCUUUAACUCUGGGAUAAGCCUGGGAAACUGGGUCUAAUACCGGAUACGACCAAUCUCCGCAUGGGGUGUUGGUGGAAAGCGUUAUGUAGUGGUUAUAGAUGGGCUCACGGCCUAUCAGCUUGUUGGUGAGGUAACGGCUCACCAAGGCGACGACGGGUAGCCGGCCUGAGAGGGUGACCGGCCACACUGGGACUGAGACACGGCCCAGACUCCUACGGGAGGCAGCAGUGGGGAAUAUUGCACAAUGGGCGCAAGCCUGAUGCAGCGACGCCGCGUGAGGGAUGACGGCCUUCGGGUUGUAAACCUCUGUUAGCAGGGAAGAAGAGAGAUUGACGGUACCUGCAGAGAAAGCGCCGGCUAACUACGUGCCAGCAGCCGCGGUAAUACGUAGGGCGCGAGCGUUGUCCGGAAUUAUUGGGCGUAAAGAGCUUGUAGGCGGUUUGUCGCGUCUGCUGUGAAAGGCCGGAGCUUAACUCCGUGUAUUGCAGUGGGUACGGGCAGACUAGAGUGCAGUAGGGGAGACUGGAAUUCCUGGUGUAGCGGUGGAAUGCGCAGAUAUCAGGAGGAACACCGAUGGCGAAGGCAGGUCUCUGGGCUGUAACUGACGCUGAGAAGCGAAAGCAUGGGGAGCGAACAGGAUUAGAUACCCUGGUAGUCCAUGCCGUAAACGUUGGGCACUAGGUGUGGGGAACAUUCCACGUUUUCCGCGCCGUAGCUAACGCAUUAAGUGCCCCGCCUGGGGAGUACGGCCGCAAGGCUAAAACUCAAAGAAAUUGACGGGGGCCCGCACAAGCGGCGGAGCAUGCGGAUUAAUUCGAUGCAACGCGAAGAACCUUACCAAGGCUUGACAUAUACUGGACCGCAUCAGAGAUGGUGUUUCCCUUCCGGGCUGGUAUACAGGUGGUGCAUGGUUGUCGUCAGCUCGUGUCGGGAGAUGUUGGGUUAAGCUCCCCCAACGAGCGCAACCCUCGUUCUAUGUUGCCAGCACGUUAUGGGGGGGGACUCAUAAGGAAACUGCCGGGGUCAACUCGGAGGAAGGUGGGGAUGACGUCAAAUCAUCAUGCCCCUUAUGUCUUGGGCUUCACGCAUGCUACAAUGGCCGGUACAGAGGGUUGCGAUACUGUGAGGUGGAGCUAAUCCCUAAAAGCCGGUCUCAGUUCGGAUUGGGGUCUGCAACUCGACCCCAUGAAGUCGGAGUCGCUAGUAAUCGCAGAUCAGCAACGCUGCGGUGAAUACGUUCCCGGGCCUUGUACACACCGCCCGUCAAGUCACGAAAGUUGGUAACACCCAAAGCCGGUGGCCUAACCCUUUUGGGAGGGAAGCCUCCAA